This is a non-coding RNA of Cinara cedri, 675 nucleotides long. The record is from the annotation of a GenBank genome assembly. NCBI's taxonomy places the organism in Eukaryota, Metazoa, Arthropoda, Insecta, Hemiptera, Aphididae.
UUACAUUUUUGAUCUGGUUGUUGCAUUAAAGAGAUCGUUUUUCGAUUUUUGAUCUUUUAGAUACCCUAUUCUCAGUAACACUAGUUUUGGAUAAUUGGGACAAAUCGCCAAGCACUUUUCGGCCGUAAUUUGGUCAAGAUAAAUACUUGACAAUUUUAAUAUAUUAUAAUAUUAAAAAAAAAAAAAAAAAAAAAAAAAAAAACAGUUAAUUUUUGAUUUUGAUUUUGUGAUGAGUAGGUCAUGCCACGAUAUUGUUAUAUUUUUGAGUAUAGAUGACUGCACUGUACGUAAAUACUUCAGCACAAGUCCGACAAUCCGACUCAAUGUAAUAUUGGAUGAAAAAUAAAAUCGGUAACAAAAAAAAUCAUCGUUGUUGGAAAAACAAAUACGGUUGUUUUCGGUUAAGUACAAAUGUCAAAAAAUAUAUUAUUACUUCGGUUUUUUUAUUUUUAUUAAACAAUCGAUUUAAACCCUUAUUAUCGAAUGAAUAUACAUAACUGAACGAUUCUUGUCAAAUAUAUUUUUGUUCAACUGAUAACAAUAUUAUUAUCUUGUAACUUUAUAAGUUUUCGUUUUUUUUUUUUUUUUUUUUUUUGUCACAACUGGCCAAACGUUAUGCAGAAAUUGUUUUCCUUUGAUUUGUAUCAAAUUUAAAAACUAUCAGUAGAAAUAUAC